CCAUUAAGCUUCACUCACACACACACCUAAGGCCAAGAGAGAAAAUUGUGGGAUUUGUGUAGUCUUGUGUUGUUCAAGGCUUGAAGUGUAUGCUAGGAAGUAUUUUGGAAAAGAAGUUUAAAGGAACUACACGAAGAAGAGGGUUAAUAGACAAAGACCAGACCUCAAGGGGUUUUAUAGCUAAGGACGCAUAGUUUAUAUUUUGUUU
Molecule: long non-coding RNA, 208 nt
Organism: Alnus glutinosa
Lineage: Eukaryota; Viridiplantae; Streptophyta; Magnoliopsida; Fagales; Betulaceae
Exons: 3
Source: RefSeq, a predicted model, not a curated record